CUCGGCCCACUGCCCGUCCUCGCGGCAGUACAUCAGCGGCGUGCCCUCGGCGGCGGGCACGGCGCCCGGCACGCACUCGCCGGGCACGGGCGCCACCAGCUCGGCGGGCACGGUGCCGGGGAAGCGGGCGAGGCGCGCGGUGGCCGCGGGGCAGCGGCGGAAGAAGAGGCGCACCGAGAGCAGCGCCAUGCAGGCGCCCAGGUCCUGGAAGGCCAGGUAGAAGCCGGCGCGGCGCAGCGGGCCCAGCCGCAGCACCUUGCGGUUGACGCGGCCCCGGGGCCCGCCCGGCCGCGCCAGGUGCUCGGCCGCCACCGUGUCCACCUUCACGUAGGGGUUCUCCAUCCAGGGCGGCGACGUGGCCGUGGCCGUGUCGGCGUCCGACUCGUGGUAGAACACCGAGAACGUCUCCUUGCACGUGCGGGGGGCGCCGCGGCGGCGGCGGGCAGGGCCCAGCGGGUGGAACGGGUGCAGAUCGAGGGGUUCGGGGUGGUUUCCAUGGAGAUGGAGGGGUUCAGGGUGGUUUCCAUGGAGAUCGAGGGGUUCGGGGUGGUUGUCAUGGAUUUUGAGGGGUUUUGGGUCCUUUCCCUUGAGAUCAACAGUUUUGGUGUCGCUUCCACGGAGCUUGAUGGGUUUUGGGUCAUCUUCAUGAAGACUGAGGUGUUUGGGGUUGUUGCCAUGGAGAUCGACGUUGCCAAGGGGAUGCCCGGGGGCGUGUCCAGGUGUGUCCCCAGGUGUGUCCCCAAUGUCCCCAGGUGUGUCCCAGGUGUGUCCCCAAUGUCCCCAGGGGUGUCCCCAAUGUCCCCAGGUGUGUCCCCAGGGGUGUCCCCAAUGUCCCCAGGGGUGUC
RNAcentral lists this long non-coding RNA (845 nucleotides) under Junco hyemalis (dark-eyed junco). RNAcentral's name for it is "lncRNA (ENSJHYG00000001295.1)". The record is from RNAcentral. Lineage: Eukaryota; Metazoa; Chordata; Aves; Passeriformes; Passerellidae.